RNAcentral lists this ribosomal RNA (776 nucleotides) under uncultured Neocallimastigales. RNAcentral describes it as "partial large subunit ribosomal RNA". It matches the Rfam family "Eukaryotic large subunit ribosomal RNA", at positions 23 to 647 of the family's 3401-position model. Lineage: Eukaryota; Fungi; Neocallimastigomycota; Neocallimastigomycetes; Neocallimastigales. The record is from RNAcentral.
AGAGAUGUGUGAUGACGCAUAUCAAUAAGCGGAGGAAAAGAAACUAACAAGGAUUCCCUUAGUAACGGCGAGUGAAGCGGGAAGAGCUCAAAUUUGAAAUCUUCAAGGUUCUACCUUGACGAAUUGUAGUUUAUAGAAGUGUUUUCUGUUAGUAGAGUGGCAAAAGUUCUUUGGAAUAGGACAUCAUAGAGGGUGAGAAUCCCGUAUUUGGUCAUUCUUUCUAGCUUUGUGAUACACUUUCAACGAGUCGGAUUGUUUGGGAAUGCAGUCCAAAAUGGGUGGUAAAUUUCAUCUAAAGCUAAAUAUUGGCGAGAGACCGAUAGCGAACAAGUACCGUGAGGGAAAGAUGAAAAGAACUUUGAAAAGAGAGUUAAACAGUACGUGAAAUUGUCAAAAGGGAAGCGUUUGACACCAGUGUUGUUUUUCCGAAAAUCAAUUACGAAUGUUUUAUUUUUGAGAAGUUAUGACUUCAUCGGCUUGCUUCUCUCUUUAUGAAACUUUCUUAAUGCACUUUUCAGGUUAACAAGUCAACAUCAAUUUCUUUUGUUGUAAAAGGGUAUGAAGGAAGGUGGCUUGCGCCUCGGCUCAAGUGUUUAUAGCCUUUUACCUCUGCAAUCGGAGAGAUUGAGGUCUGCAGCGUAGAUCCUUCGGGGUUAGAUACAUUGGUGCUAAGCUAUAGCCUUGUAUAGACAACUUGUUGACUAUGCUCAGUCAUGUAGCUUACUCGCUGAUGCUAUUUUACCUACGCUUAGGAUGUUGAUCUGUAGUGCGUGCGC